RNAcentral lists this unclassified non-coding RNA (792 nucleotides) under Hevea brasiliensis (rubber tree). Lineage: Eukaryota; Viridiplantae; Streptophyta; Magnoliopsida; Malpighiales; Euphorbiaceae. The record is from RNAcentral.
AUUUAGUUUAAUCUUUUAUUCACUGAAAAUCUUAUUCAAAAUUAUGAGAAUUUUAGAAUUAAGAAUUUACAUAGAUAAUUUAAGUUAUUUUCUGUAUUUUUGGUUUUUUGUUUUGCUGUUUGUUUGUUUUUCUAUCAUGGGGAUGCAUCUUUGGUAGUGGGAUUAGGUAAAACUCCUUGUGCACAAGUAAUGAUGAUUAGCUUCGGACAAUGUAACCAUGCUUAGAUGGUGUAAGUAUGGGUAGUCAAUCACUUUUGUACUUGUAAUUAAUGAUGUAAUCUACAGAUAUAUUAACUUUUGAAUUAUCAAUGACAGAGCAAGGAAACUCCAUUUCCUGCAACUUUUUUUUCCCCUCUUUGUUUCCUCUGUUUUGUGCGUGUUCUCUGCUAUUGCUAGCAUCUCCAACAGAGAAUAUGUUUUGAGAACUCUGGUUUUAAGGCUUGUUUCAUUUGGCAUAAGGGUAUCAUGUGGUUGAAGUCGAUAUUGAUCUCCAGCAUUACUUCAUUGCUUUUGGUUUUCUUGUGUAAUAUUCUGAGUUCUUUGGGAGGGAUGAGGAAGUUAUGUUCUCCUCCAGAUUGUUUAUCUGAUAAAAGAAUUCCUAUAGCAUUCAUUUGGAGAGGUGUGCAUUUGAAAUGAAUAUAGUUUUGGAUUUGUAUUUCAAGAGAAAUCAUAAAACAUCUACAAAGCGUCAAACUUAAAACCACUUUAUUUCAAAUUCUUAUCUAUGCAAAUGGAGCCAAAAUGUAACUUUUGGAAUCUCUUCAUUGCAGGUUUUCUUGUUUCAGAAGUCUG